GAAAUGCGAUAAGUAAUGUGAAUUGCAGAAUUCAGUGAAUCAUCGAAUCUUUGAACGCACCUUGCGCCCUUUGGUAUUCCGAGGGGCAUGCCUGUUUGAGUGUCAUUAAAUACCAUCAACCCUCUUUUGACUUCGGUCUCGAGAGUGGCUUGGAAGUGGAGGUCUGCUGGAGCCUAACGGAGCCAGCUCCUCUUAAAUGUAUUAGCGGAUUUCCCUUGCGGGAUCGCGUCUCCGAUGUGAUAAUUUCUACGUCGUUGACCAUCUCGGGGCUGACCUAGUCAGUUUCAAUAGGAGUCUGCUUCUAACCGUCUCUUGACUGAGACUAGCGACUUGUGCGCUAACUUUUGACUUGACCUCAAAUCAGGUAGGACUACCCGAUGAACUUAAG
RNAcentral lists this unclassified non-coding RNA (388 nucleotides) under plant metagenome. RNAcentral describes it as "partial contains 5.8S ribosomal RNA, internal transcribed spacer 2, and large subunit ribosomal RNA". The stretch from base 1 to 105 matches the Rfam family "5.8S ribosomal RNA", at positions 50 to 154 of the family's 154-position model. The record is from RNAcentral.